UAGGGAAUCUUCCACAAUGGACGCAAGUCUGAUGGAGCAACGCCGCGUGAGUGAAGAAGGGUUUCGGCUCGUAAAGCUCUGUUGGUAGUGAAGAAAGAUAGAGGUAGUAACUGGCCUUUAUUUGACGGUAAUUACUUAGAAAGUCACGGCUAACUACGNGCCAGCAGCCGCGGUAAUACGUAGGUGGCAAGCGUUGUCCGGAUUUAUUGGGCGUAAAGCGAGUGCAGGCGGUUCAAUAAGUCUGAUGUGAAAGCCUUCGGCUCAACCGGAGAAUUGCAUCAGAAACUGUUGAACUUGAGUGCAGAAGAGGAGAGUGGAACUCCAUGUGUAGCGGUGGAAUGCGUAGAUAUAUGGAAGAACACCAGUGGCGAAGGCGGCUCUCUGGUCUGCAACUGACGCUGAGGCUCGAAAGCAUGGGUAGCGAACAGGAUUAGAUACCCUGGUAGUCCAUGCCGUAAACGAUGAGUGCUAAGUGUUGGGAGGUUUCCGCCUCUCAGUGCUGCAGCUAACGCAUUAAGCACUCCGCCUGGGGAGUACGACCGCAAGGUUG
RNAcentral lists this ribosomal RNA (550 nucleotides) under uncultured bacterium. RNAcentral describes it as "bacterial SSU rRNA". It matches the Rfam family "Bacterial small subunit ribosomal RNA", at positions 355 to 896 of the family's 1533-position model. The record is from RNAcentral.